RNAcentral lists this ribosomal RNA (504 nucleotides) under uncultured bacterium. RNAcentral's name for it is "partial 16S ribosomal RNA". It matches the Rfam family "Bacterial small subunit ribosomal RNA", at positions 28 to 507 of the family's 1533-position model. The record is from RNAcentral.
GACGAACGCUGGCGGCGUGCUUAACACAUGCAAGUCGAACGGUGAAGCGCUUGCCUUUUUGGUGGGUGUGGAUGAGUGGCGAACGGGUGAGUAACACGUGAGUAACCUGCCCUCUUCUUCUGGAUAACCUCAUGAAAGUGGGGCUAAUACGGGGUAUUCCGGGUCUGUCGCAUGGCGGGUUUGGGAAAGAUUGCGCCUUUGGGUGUUUUCGGUGGGGGAUGGGCUCGCGGCCUAUCAGCUUGUUGGUGGGGUGAUGGCCUACCAAGGCGGUGACGGGUAGCCGGCCUGGGAGGGUGGACGGCCACACUGGGACUGAGACACGGCCCAGACGCCUGCGGGAGGCAGCAGUGGGGAAUAUUGCACAAUGGGCGCAAGCCUGAUGCAGCGACGCCGCGUGAGGGAUGGAGGCCUUCGGGUUGUGAACCUCUUUCGCCAGGGAAGCAGGCCUGCUCCUGUGUGGGUGGGUUGACGGUAGCUGGAUAAGAAGCGCCGGCUAACUACGUG